GUUAGGAAUAUUGGACAAUGGGCGCAAGCCUGAUCCAGCCAUGCCGCGUGAGUGAUGAAGGCCUUCGGGUUGUAAAGCUCUUUAGCCGAUGAUUAUAAUGACUGUAGUCGGAAAAUAAGCCCCGGCUAACUUCGUGUCAGCAGCCGCGGUAAUACGAAGGGGGCGAGCGUUAUUCGGAAUCACUGGGCGUAAAGCGUGCGUAGGCGGCUUUGCAAGUUGGGAGUGAAAGCCCAGGGCUCAACCCUGGAAUUGCUCUCAAAACUGCAAGGCUCGAAUUCGGGAGAGGAUAGCGGAAUUGUCAGUGUAGCAGUGAAAUGCGUAGAUAUUGACAGGAACACCAGUGGCGUAAGCGGCUAUCUGGACCGAUAUUGACGCUGAGGCACGAAAGCGUGGGGAUCAAACAGGAUUAGAAACCCGAGUAGUCC
This 425-nucleotide ribosomal RNA is filed under the name uncultured bacterium. Its description in RNAcentral is "partial 16S ribosomal RNA". It matches the Rfam family "Bacterial small subunit ribosomal RNA", at positions 354 to 796 of the family's 1533-position model. The record is from RNAcentral.